Molecule: ribosomal RNA, 468 nt
Filed under: uncultured bacterium
Lineage: Bacteria
Description: partial 16S ribosomal RNA
Rfam family: Bacterial small subunit ribosomal RNA
Source: RNAcentral
GAUGAACGCUGGCGGCGUGCUUAACACAUGCAAGUCGAACGGAAAGGCCCUGCUUUUGUUGGUUGCUCGAUUGGCGCACGGGUGAGUAACACGUGUGUAACCUCCCCUUGACUUUGGGAUAACUUCAGGGAAAUGGGGCUAAUACACGAUAUGAUCUCUUGCUCCAUGGGGGGGGUUGGAAAGUUUCGGCCGUUGGGGCUGGACUCGCUGCUUAUCCGCUUGUUGGUGUGGUAGGUGCGUACGAAGGCUUUGAAGGGUAGCCGGCCUGAGAGGGUGACCGGCGACAUUGGGCCUGAGAUACGCCGCAGACUCGUACGGGACGCAGCAGGCGGGAAUAUUGCACAGUGACCGGAAGCCUGAUGCAGAAACGCCGCGUGCGUGAUGAUGGCUUACGGGGUGUAAACAGAUUUCGAAGGUGAUGAAGAGGGAGUGACGGUAACGGGUCAAGAAGCAACGGCUAACUACGUG